UAAGGAAUAUUGGACAAUGGAGGCAACUCUGAUCCAGCCAUGCCGCGUGAAGGAAUAAGGCCCUAUGGGUUGUAAACUUCUUUUAGACGGGACAAAACCCCUUUACGUGUAAAGGGUUGAUGGUACUGUCAGAAUAAGCACCGGCUAACUCCGUGCCAGCAGCCGCGGUAAUACGGAGGGUGCGAGCGUUAUCCGGAUUUACUGGGUUUAAAGGGUGCGUAGGUGGGCUUAUAAGUCAGUGGUGAAAUCUCCGAGCUUAACUUGGAAACUGCCGUUGAUACUAUAGGUCUCGAAUUAUCUGGAGGUAAGCGGAAUAUGUCAUGUAGCGGUGAAAUGCUUAGAUAUGACGUAGAACACCAAUUGCGAAGGCAGCUUACUACAUAUAAAUUGACGCUGAGGCACGAAAGCGUGGGGAUCAAACA
Molecule: ribosomal RNA, 422 nt
Filed under: uncultured bacterium
Lineage: Bacteria
Description: bacterial SSU rRNA
Rfam family: Bacterial small subunit ribosomal RNA
Source: RNAcentral